Molecule: small nucleolar RNA, 104 nt
Organism: Callithrix jacchus (white-tufted-ear marmoset)
Lineage: Eukaryota; Metazoa; Chordata; Mammalia; Primates; Cebidae
Source: Ensembl
AUCCUUUUGUAGUUUCUAAGCGAGAUGAUUGGGUGUUCACGCGCAUGUGUGAGAUGCGCCUUCCUCAAACCUUGUUACGACAUCGGCACAUGACCCUUCCGACA